RNAcentral lists this ribosomal RNA (497 nucleotides) under uncultured bacterium. Its description in RNAcentral is "partial 16S ribosomal RNA". It matches the Rfam family "Bacterial small subunit ribosomal RNA", at positions 28 to 507 of the family's 1533-position model. The record is from RNAcentral.
GAUGAACGCUGGCGGCGUGCCUAAUACAUGCAAGUCGAGCGAACAGACGAGGAGCUUGCUCCUCUGACGUUAGCGGCGGACGGGUGAGUAACACGUGGAUAACCUACCUAUAAGACUGGGAUAACUUCGGGAAACCGGAGCUAAUACCGGAUAAUAUAUUGAACCGCAUGGUUCAAUAGUGAAAGACGGUUUUGCUGUCACUUAUAGAUGGAUCCGCGCCGCAGUAGCUAGUUGGUAAGGUAACGGCUUACCAAGGCAACGAUGCGUAGCCGACCUGAGAUGGUGAUCGGCCACACUGGAACUGAGACACGGUCCAGACUCCUACGGGAGGCAGCAGUAGGGAAUCUUCCGCAAUGGGCGAAAGCCUGACGGAGCAACGCCGCGUGAGUGAUGAAGGUCUUCGGAUCGUAAAACUCUGUUAUUAGGGAAGAACAAAUGUGUAAGUAACUAUGCACGUCUUGACGGUACCUAAUCAGAAAGCCACGGCUAACUACGUG